UGAAAAGAGAGAAAAGAAAAGAGACAAGAUGAAAAAAAAAGAAGAGAAAAAAAAAUACAGAAAAAUGAGAAAAAUAAAAAAUUUUGUGUAAAUGAUGGAGUCAAGAAGAGGAUUGAAUUAGAGGGUUUGGGUGUGAUUUGACUGUGUUUUCACUUGUUCCCCAUUGCUCCUCUAUUUCUUUUGGUUUGUAGCUUCUCAUCCAUAUUUAUCCUCCCUUUUCCUUGG
Molecule: long non-coding RNA, 225 nt
Filed under: Vigna radiata
Lineage: Eukaryota; Viridiplantae; Streptophyta; Magnoliopsida; Fabales; Fabaceae
Description: long non-coding RNA (VRAD_LNC014965)
Source: RNAcentral